Molecule: ribosomal RNA, 245 nt
Filed under: uncultured bacterium
Lineage: Bacteria
Description: partial 16S ribosomal RNA
Rfam family: Bacterial small subunit ribosomal RNA
Source: RNAcentral
GGGCUAGCGUUGUUCGGAAUCACUGGGCGUAAAGGGCGCGUAGGCGGCUUUAUAAGUCGGGGGUGAAAGCCUGUGGCUCAACCACAGAAUUGCCUUCGAUACUGUAGAGCUUGAGACCGGUAGAGGUAAGUGGAACUGCGAGUGUAGAGGUGAAAUUCGUAGAUAUUCGCAAGAACACCAGUGGCGAAGGCGGCUUACUGGUCCGGUUCUGACGCUGAGGCGCGAAAGCGUGGGGAGCAAACAGG